AUUGAACGCUGGCGGCAGGCCUAACACAUGCAAGUCGAACGGUAACAGGAAGCAGCUUGCUGCUUUGCUGACGAGUGGCGGACGGGUGAGUAAUGUCUGGGAAACUGCCCGAUGGAGGGGGAUAACUACUGGAAACGGUAGCUAAUACCGCAUAACGUCGCAAGACCAAAGAGGGGGACCUUAGGGCCUCUUGCCAUCGGAUGUGCCCAGAUGGGAUUAGCUAGUAGGUGGGGUAACGGCUCACCUAGGCGACGAUCCCUAGCUGGUCUGAGAGGAUGACCAGCCACACUGGAACUGAGACACGGUCCAUACUCCUACGGGAGGCAGCAGUGGGGAAUAUUGCACAAUGGGCGCAAGCCUGAUGCAGCCAUGCCGCGUGUAUGAAGAAGGCCUUCGGGUUGUAAAGUACUUUCAGCGGGGAGGAAGGGAGUAAAGUUAAUACCUUUGCUCAUUGACGUUACCCGCAGAAGAAGCACCGGCUAACUCCGUG
RNAcentral lists this ribosomal RNA (490 nucleotides) under uncultured bacterium. RNAcentral describes it as "partial 16S ribosomal RNA". It matches the Rfam family "Bacterial small subunit ribosomal RNA", at positions 30 to 507 of the family's 1533-position model. The record is from RNAcentral.